UGGGGAAUAUUGGACAAUGGGCGGAAGCCUGAUCCAGCCAUGCCGCGUGUGUGAAGAAGGUCUUCGGAUUGUAAAGCACUUUAAGUUGGGAGGAAGGGCAUUAACCUAAUACGUUAGUGUUUUGACGUUACCGACAGAAUAAGCACCGGCUAACUCUGUGCCAGCAGCCGCGGUAAUACAGAGGGUGCAAGCGUUAAUCGGAAUUACUGGGCGUAAAGCGCGCGUAGGUGGUUUGUUAAGUUGGAUGUGAAAUCCCCGGGCUCAACCUGGGAACUGCAUUCAAAACUGACUGACUAGAGUAUGGUAGAGGGUGGUGGAAUUUCCUGUGUAGCGGUGAAAUGCGUAGAUAUAGGAAGGAACACCAGUGGCGAAGGCGACCACCUGGACUAAUACUGACACUGAGGUGCGAAAGCGUGGGGAGCAAACA
This 427-nucleotide ribosomal RNA is filed under the name uncultured bacterium. RNAcentral's name for it is "partial 16S ribosomal RNA". It matches the Rfam family "Bacterial small subunit ribosomal RNA", at positions 355 to 774 of the family's 1533-position model. The record is from RNAcentral.